UGCCAGACUCCUACGGGAGGCAGCAGUGGGGAAUAUUGCACAAUGGGGGAAACCCUGAUGCAGCGACGCCGCGUGAGUGAGGAAGUAUCUCGGUAUGUAAAGCUCUAUCAGCAGGGAAGAAAAUGACGGUACCUGACUAAGAAGCCCCGGCUAACUACGUGCCAGCAGCCGCGGUAAUACGUAGGGGGCAAGCGUUAUCCGGAUUUACUGGGUGUAAAGGGGGCGCAGACGGCGAUGCAAGCCAGGAGUGAAAGCCCGGGGCCCAACCCCGGGACUGCUCUUGGAACUGCGUGGCUGGAGUGCAGGAGGGGCAGGCGGAAUUCCUGGUGUAGCGGUGAAAUGCGUAGAUAUCAGGAGGAACACCGGUGGCGAAGGCGGCUUACUGGACGGCAACUGACGUUGAGACCCGAAAGCGUGGGGAGCGAACAGGAUUAGAUACCCUGGUAC
This 447-nucleotide ribosomal RNA is filed under the name uncultured bacterium. Its description in RNAcentral is "bacterial SSU rRNA". It matches the Rfam family "Bacterial small subunit ribosomal RNA", at positions 329 to 793 of the family's 1533-position model. The record is from RNAcentral.